This 53-nucleotide non-coding RNA is filed under the name Ctenophora environmental sample. Lineage: Eukaryota; Metazoa; Ctenophora. The record is from RNAcentral.
CUUCUUCUUUUUCCGUUUCUUAUUCUUCUUGCCUUUCUACUUCUUCUUUUUCG